GAAAAGCUGACCCUUAGGGCAUGAGAGCAGGAGAACUGGCCCUAACUUUUACUAGCUACAGCACUCCGGAGAGCAGGCCCUACACACUUUGCCUUGGCAGCACAGUAGAGCUGACCCUGGUGGUGUGGAUGGGGGCCAGCUGGCCGGAGGGCAUGAGUAUGGGAAACCUGGCCCUGCCACUUGUCUGCCCUGCAGUGACAUGGGAGAGGGAGUGAUGCCACCUACUUUUUCCUCUUGCCACCUACAAUAGGAAGGAGAGCUGGUCCUGAGGUCAGCAGAGAGAGCCGUCCUGCACUUCACAUGGACAGUACAGUAAAGCUGGCCCUGGAUGUGAGGGUUGCAGAUCUGAGAAUCUUUAAUAAUACUGGUGAAGUAACUGCUUGGGAGAAAAAGAGAAAAAUAAGAAGUCACUUCAAAGACUGAUGUGACACCAUAUGUCUCCAAUCCCGACAUUCAACAUAUGAAGGAAAAGGAACUCAAAGUUCAAGUUCAUCCUUGGUUACAUAGCUGAGCGCUGCAGCAGGCUCCCGCAGCGUCCCGAGGUUUUUCUUCUCACGUCUUCGACGGCCUUGCAUUCUCGGCGUUCCUCACAGAAUGCCCCUCCAUAUCCAGGCCUCCACGUUGGGCGACAGUUUGACCCGACCCACAGGACCGUGGAACCUGGAGGGGGAUGUGGGAAUGGGAUGGAACAGGAGACGCGAAGAAUGGAGACAAGACAGAAUUCUGAUCAAGUCUCGAUUUAUUGUGCUUUAGGUUACAGCUUAUAGAGAGUAAGAAUGGGCAACUCGGGGUGAGGGGGGAACUAGUUUCAGUGAAAAUCGCAAAGCAGGGUAUUCUCAAGGAAAUUCUAAAAAGCGGGAGGACAGUUCUCAGGUAAGUGGGAGGCAAGUUCUCAUACACAUACCUUGCCAAAUCUAAACGGUUGAACAAACCUCUACAAAGCUCAAAGCAGCACCUGCGGUCCAGGGAUGGAAACUCACUGUACCAUGCAAGGCACAAUAUGCUUCAUAGAUUCCAAGCAGGCAAGAGUCAAACAGCCGUUCUAUGGCUCCACACAAUGUACCAGAGCAAAUGGAAUGUGUUAUGUUAAGAAUUUUGAUUUUUCUGUUUCCUGGUUGUGGAUGCAGUAUGACCAGCUCUUUCUUGCUUUUUCUGCAGUGAACUGUAAACCAACAUGAACCUUUAGAAAGUAUCUUGACAUGCUGGAGAGAUUUCUCAGUUGUUAAGACCACUUGUUCUUACAGCAGACAUUAAUUCAAUUCCCAGCACCCCCAUGGGGGCUCACAACCUUAUGUGAUUGCAGUUCUAGGGGAUCUGACACCCUUGGUGGGUACCAGGUACACAAGUGGUACACAUACAUAGGUGCAGGCAAAACAUCCAAACACAUAAAAUGAACACACUUUGGAGGUUUGACUACAAUCAAUGGAAAAUUACUGGAAGAUUUUUAGACAGUGGAGUAAUAAAUAAUAUUUGCAUUUUAAUUAUUAUUCAAAAUAUCAUACAUAUAUAUUUUUAAUUUUAUCUGUUUCCCACUACCCUAAGCCUUUUUCCAACUUCAUGGUUUCUUUUGUCAUUAUUAUUAUUAUUAACCCCUUUGCCUCAGUUUGUGCUGAUCAUAUGAGUCUGGGCAUGAGGCCUUCCACUGGAGCAUGAGAAACCAUUAAUAACAGAUGUAAUCUAUGCCUUCUGGAUUUUUUUUUUUUUUUUUGCUUUUUUUAAAGACAAGGUCUCCUGUAGUUCCAGACUGACGAGAAACCAGCUCUGUAACUGAAUUCCAGAUCCCCUUGCCUCUGUUAAGUGCUGGGAUUACAGGUGUGAGCUACUAAACUUGGUUCUAAGAAAGUUUUAACCUUUCAAGAAAUAUGUAGACUUACUUGAAGUCCACUUAUCCUUAUUUCCCCUUAUAUACCAUUUAGAGAGAUCAGUUUAGCAGAGAUAAAGAGGUUGUAGUGGUGAAAAAGGAAAUAGUGGACAUUUCACUCAUUGAGAGAAGAGACUACAGGAAAUGAUUAAGGUAGAAGUGGGGUUUAAGACUAGAGGCAAUAUUAGAAAUAUAAAGAAGUUCUGAGAGAGAAAUUUGGAGUGAGCUAGAAGGGGGAGAAGCAUAGAAAAGGAAGUAGGAGCUGGGAAGCUAUGCCUCUCAGGACCAGGAUGUCCUACCCAAAUUCUCUCCUUUGCUCAGCAUUGGUUGGUUGUUUUUAUUGACAACACAAAGAACAAAUGGUGGCAUGUUUACACAAACUUGAGACAGGUGAUACUUAGAAGUAUCACAGUGCAGUGUCUGUAUUGAAACCACAUAAUGGGGGAGAAAUAUCAGCGUUUGAAUGAACAAGGUUAAAUUGUAUACAUUCCAUAAGAAAAUUAUACUCAGGAAGCUGAGGCAGGAAGUUUUUGUGUUCAAGAUAACAAUGUUACAUUGUUGUGAGCAAUGUAACAAGAACCUGUCUCAAGAUAAAUUUAAGAGGCAGUGGAUGUAGCUCAGUGGUACAUCAAAUACCUUGCAUGAACAUAGCCCCAGUUUAAAUCACUAGUUUAAAUCACUAGUGCUGUAAAAUAUAAAGAGAAGAAAGAGGUAAGUUGUGAAAUAAUGUGCCAAUGAGAAUGGAAACAAACAUGCCUAGAAGGGAAGAUAAUAGAACUACUCAAGUUGAAUGGACCACAUGCAGUUUCACAUUCAGCUAUCCUCAGUUCCUCAGACCCAGUAACCCCUGAAGUUAUUUAGUUCCUCAUCCAAAUUAAGAAACAUAUGCAAAUACCUAAAUUUAGAAAUACUUAAAGGGUAACUCACAAUGGUCUAUAAACUUUUAACAGGAAAAAAAUAAUAAACAUGUGUUGAUGAUUA
This is a long non-coding RNA of Meriones unguiculatus (Mongolian gerbil), 2842 nucleotides long. RefSeq lists it as uncharacterized. NCBI's taxonomy places the organism in Eukaryota, Metazoa, Chordata, Mammalia, Rodentia, Muridae. The transcript has 3 exons. The record is from RefSeq and is a predicted model, not a curated record.